GAUGAACGCUAGCGGGAGGCCUAACACAUGCAAGCCGAGCGGUAUUGUUUCUUCGGAAAUGAGAGAGCGGCGUACGGGUGCGUAACACGUGUGCAACCUGCCUUUAUCUGGGGGAUAGCCUUUCGAAAGGAAGAUUAAUACUCCAUAAUAUAUUGAACGGCAUCGUUUAAUAUUGAAAGCUCCGGCGGAUAGAGAUGGGCACGCGCAAGAUUAGCUAGUUGGUGAGGUAACGGCUCACCAAGGCGAUGAUCUUUAGGGGGCCUGAGAGGGUGAUCCCCUACACUGGUACUGAGACACGGACCAGACUCCUACGGGAGGCAGCAGUGAGGAAUAUUGGUCAAUGGGUGCAAGCCUGAACCAGCCAUCCCGCGUGAAGGACGACUGCCCUAUGGGUUGUAAACUUCUUUUGUAUAGGGAUAAACCUACCCUCGAGAGGGUAGCUGAAGGUACUAUACGAAUAAGCACCGGCUAACUCCGUG
RNAcentral lists this ribosomal RNA (479 nucleotides) under uncultured bacterium. Its description in RNAcentral is "partial 16S ribosomal RNA". It matches the Rfam family "Bacterial small subunit ribosomal RNA", at positions 28 to 507 of the family's 1533-position model. The record is from RNAcentral.